Pongo abelii (Sumatran orangutan) is the source of this 148-nucleotide unclassified non-coding RNA. It matches the Rfam family "Metazoan signal recognition particle RNA". Rfam says of the family: The signal recognition particle (SRP) is a universally conserved ribonucleoprotein. It is involved in the co-translational targeting of proteins to membranes. The eukaryotic SRP consists of a 300-nucleotide 7S RNA and six proteins: SRPs 72, 68, 54, 19, 14, and 9. The record is from Ensembl. NCBI's taxonomy places the organism in Eukaryota, Metazoa, Chordata, Mammalia, Primates, Hominidae.
GCCAGGUUUGGUGGUGUGCACCUGUAGUCCCAGCUACUCAGGAGGCUGAGGUGGGAGGAUCACUUGAGCCCCGGAGGUCAGGGCUGCAGUGAGCCAUGAUUGUGCCACUGCACUCCAGCCUGGGCAACAGAGCAAGACCCUAUCUCAA